RNAcentral lists this long non-coding RNA (1016 nucleotides) under Mus musculus (house mouse). RNAcentral describes it as "RIKEN cDNA 4930473H19 gene (4930473H19Rik)". The record is from RNAcentral. Lineage: Eukaryota; Metazoa; Chordata; Mammalia; Rodentia; Muridae.
ACUCUGGCACUAAGGGGCACCUCUGCCAGGUUAAAGGUGGCAGAAACUCUGAGGAAGUCAAAGUGCCUGAGCAUGUGGGCCACUUUCUCAGCGUUCCUCCCUUCAUUCAGGAAGUCCAACUCGAGAGGCAGGUUCUUCUUCGCUUCAUCCACCAGCCACAUGAAUUCAAAAUCUGGGAAAAGUUGCUUCACGGCCAGGACAAGCACCUGAAAGCCACCAAGCAACCUGUCAGCCAGUCAGCCCACGGCCCCCACCACGGAAGGACAAUUAAUGCCAGAACAGCCAUGGUAUCACUACCUCAAGCAACAACAAAUGAGAAAACCCCUAGGGAACUUUGUUGUUGUUGUUUGAAAAGAAAAUAAGAGAGAGCGCAAGCCUUCUUUGGCAUCUGGAUGUCACCAGAGCUGAGCAGCUGUUUGGGAUCGACAAGGGACAGUACGUUAGAAGGACAAACCAGGAAGCUGAGGAAGCUACUGGACAACUAAAGAUGGGAAGAACCUUGGUGCUUACAAACCAUGGUGAGGUGUCAGAUCAGUCCACCUUGGGGCAACUGGUCCAGGUGCUCGCACACCUGAGAGGACGUGAGCAUCCCACCUGCGUCAUUUCUCUAUGGACACUCUACUUAUUGCAUCGCAACUCUUAUUGCUUCAACUCUUCCUGUCCUCCGUCCUCAUAUGAGAUGGCUGUUCGGAUUUAUAAGCGUGCCUUCCUAACAAAGCAAAUAUCCAGAGGCUAAGCCGAUCAGUCCCUCUCUGUUUAGUAGGAAUCACUUUCCAGGAAUCACUAAUCAGACUGACCUUCCUAUGGUGAGACACAAGCCUGAAGGCAUACAAUGCCCAGAACUGGUAUGGAAGAAAGCCCAGCAGUCUAUGCAGGUAAGCCAGACACCUACACCCGUCCAUCGGCUUCUGAACCUUAGGUGUCCCCUAAGAGUAAAACAUUCUCCUGCCACACAGGUGAGAGCCACUUUCUAGAGUUUUGUCAGCCCUAAAAUAAAGAUAUCACUUAGAUCUGGA